Molecule: ribosomal RNA, 253 nt
Filed under: uncultured bacterium
Lineage: Bacteria
Description: partial 16S ribosomal RNA
Rfam family: Bacterial small subunit ribosomal RNA
Source: RNAcentral
UACGUAGGGGGCAAGCGUUGUCCGGAUUUAUUGGGCGUAAAGAGCGUGUAGGCGGCCACACAGGUCCGCUGUGAAAACUCGAGGCUCAACCUCGAGCUGUCGGUGGAAACCGUGUGGCUAGAGUCCGGAAGAGGAGAGUGGAAUUCCCGGUGUAGCGGUGAAACGCGCAGAUAUCGGGAAGAACACCCGUGGCGAAGGCGGCUCUCUGGGACGGUACUGACGCUGAGACGCGAAAGCGUGGGGAGCGAACAGG